AUAACAGAUAAAGAUUUUAGAAAAAAAUUAAAAGUAUUACGCAAUUAUUAAUUUAUUACUUUUAAAAAAAAAAAAAAAAAAAAAUAGCGUUAGCAUUAGCAAUAGUAACACAAGAUUAAAUAUAUAAAUAUAAUCAUAUAUUAAUGUAAAUUUUAAUAAAUAACAUUUGGUAAAAAGAUAUGAAGAUAAUAUUAAAUAAAACUUAAUUUGAAUAAUACAAAAGAUAAGUAUAUAAGUAUAUGGAUAUCUAAGUGUAUAGGUAUAUAGUGACAUAGAUAUAUAAGUAUAUGAAUAUAUAAGUAUAUAUCUAUUUUUUUUAUUUUUUUUUAAUUUAACAUUUUAAAAUAUUAAGGUGUAUGUCUUAUCUUUAAAUUAGAGGAAAAAAUGAGUAACACUGAGAACGUCGAUAUAGAGAUACUGAAAUUUUUGCAAUGUGCAUUUAAAGAAGGCGUAAAAGUAAAAAGUGCAGCCGAAGUUGGAAAAAGGGCUGUGGAGUACUUUAGAGGUGAUGAUUUUGUUAAUUUUAUGAAUGACAAAAAGGAAAUGAUAAAAAAGAAAUUUCCAAAUUUAUUUAGUAAUAAGAAAUUGGCUGAUUUAAAAGAUAUAGAAGAUUUUGCUGACAUGUUAAUACAAAAAGGAUAUAUAUAUAAAGCUCAAUAUAAACCUAUUAAAGGAAUAAAUGAAAUGGAUGAGAAUGGAGUAUAUAAAAGACCUAAAUGGCCUAAAAGAUUAAUUAUGACAUCUAAACAAAAUUUUGAUAAAAAUGGUUUUUAUAUUUUAGUACAUGAAAGAAAUACUAGAUUACAAUAUGUUAUGUUAAUAACAUUAAUAACCAUUGUUUUAAUUUGUUGUAUGUUUCCAGUUUGGCCAUUAAAAUUAAAAUUAGCAUUAUGGCAUUUAUCAGUAGUAUUUAUAUGUUUAAUUUCUUUUAUAGUAAUAGGAAGGUUAAUAACAUUUUUAUUUUUUUGGUUUUUUGGAGUCGAUUAUUGGAUAUUUCCUAAUUUAUUUGAUGAAGAAUGUAAUGUGAUUGAAUCAUUUAUUCCUUUUCAUACGUGGCAUUAUCGAAACGAUACAUGGUUUCUUGUCAUUGCUCGAGCAUUUACUGCUGUUUUAUUGGCAAUAGGUAUACACCAAUUAGGAAAAACACAUUCUAUAUCAGAUAUUCAAAAUUUUGCAAAACAGUCAUUUAUUGACAUAAUAGAAUGGGGUAAUAAAAAAUUAUCUGAUACCCCAGAACAUGUUUCAAUGUAUAAAUCUUUAGAUGCACAAGCAGCUUUUGACACGAGUGCUAUUGAGGAAGAUGAUGUUGUUUAUGAUGAAAAUGAAGAAAACUAUGAUUGUUUAAAAAAAUGUGGGUUUCAAACAUUUCAGGAGUUGGUCAGGAAAUGUUUCUUAAAAUGUGACUGUUUAGAGAAAGUUAUAAAAUCCGAAUGUUACCUUAAGAAGUGUUCUAGAGUAACAAAGGAAGUUUUAGAUGAAGCGCACAGAGAAGCUUGUUUUGAAAAAACAAAAACUGAGUAAAAAAAAAAAAAUAGUUCAAGUUAUAAUACUCUUUUUUUUUUUUUUUUUUUUUUUUUUUUUUUUUUUUUUAAAAAAAACCAUGAGACAUUUGAAUUAUAUUAAACAUAAUAUUAUAUACAUAUAUACACAUUUCAAAAGAUAAUUGAAGCAUAAUAAAAACACAUAGAAAAGGUUGUUCCUUUUCA
This is a long non-coding RNA of Piliocolobus tephrosceles (Ugandan red Colobus), 1706 nucleotides long. The record is from Ensembl. NCBI's taxonomy places the organism in Eukaryota, Metazoa, Chordata, Mammalia, Primates, Cercopithecidae.